AGGUAAGCUACUAAGAGCGAAUGGUGGAUGCCUUGACUGGUAAAGGCGAUGAAGGACGUACUAGACUGCGAUAAGCUACGGGGAGCUGUCAAGAAGCUUUGAUCCGUAGAUUUCCGAAUGGGGCAACCCAAUGUAUAGAGAUAUACAUUACCUAUAUAGGAGCGAACGAGGGGAAUUGAAACAUCUUAGUACUCUCAGGAAAAGAAAUCAAUAGAGAUUGCGUCAGUAGCGGCGAGCGAAAGCGCAAGAGGGCAAACCCAGUGCUUGCACUGGGGGUUGUAGGACUGCAAUGUGCAAGAGGUAAGUUUAGCAGAACAUUCUGGAAAGUAUAACCAUAGAGGGUGAUAGUCCCGUAUGCGAAAAACAAACCUUAGCUAGCAGUAUCCUGAGUAGGGCGGGACACGAGGAAUCCUGUCUGAAUCCGGGUCGACCACGAUCCAACCCUAAAUACUAAUACCAGAUCGAUAGUGCACAAGUACCGUGAGGGAAAGGUGAAAAGAACUGAGGUGAUCAGAGUGAAAUAGAACCUGAAACCAUUUGCUUACAAUCAUUCAGAGCCCUAUGUAGCAAUACAGGGUGAUGGACUGCCUUUUGCAUAAUGAGCCUGCGAGUUGUGGUGUCUGGCAAGGUUAAGCAAACGCGAAGCCGUAGCGAAAGCGAGUCUGAAUAGGGCGCUUAGUCAGAUGCUGCAGACCCGAAACGAAGUGAUCUAUCCAUGAGCAAGUUGAAGCUAGUGUAAGAACUAGUGGAGGACUGAACCCAUAGGCGUUGAAAAGCCCCGGGAUGACUUGUGGAUAGGGGUGAAAGGCCAAUCAAACUUCGUGAUAGCUGGUUCUCUCCGAAAUAUAUUUAGGUAUAGCGUUGUGUCGUAAUAUAAGGGGGUAGAGCACUGAAUGGGCUAGGGCAUACACCAAUGUACCAAACCCUAUCAAACUCCGAAUACCUUAUAUGUAAUCACAGCAGUCAGGCGGCGAGUGAUAAAAUCCGUCGUCAAGAGGGAAACAACCCAGACUACCAGCUAAGGUCCCUAAAUCUUACUUAAGUGGAAAACGAUGUGAAGUUACUUAAACAACCAGGAGGUUGGCUUAGAAGCAGCCAUCCUUUAAAGAAAGCGUAAUAGCUCACUGGUCUAGUGAUUUUGCGCGGAAAAUAUAACGGGGCUAAAGUAAGUACCGAAGCUGUAGACUUAGUUUACUAAGUGGUAGGAGAGCGUUCUAUUUGCGUCGAAGGUAUACCGGUAAGGAGUGCUGGAGCGAAUAGAAGUGAGCAUGCAGGCAUGAGUAGCGAUAAUUAAUGUGAGAAUCAUUAACGCCGUAAACCCAAGGUUUCCUACGCGAUGCUCGUCAUCGUAGGGUUAGUCGGGUCCUAAGUCGAGU
Molecule: ribosomal RNA, 1376 nt
Filed under: Campylobacter jejuni
Lineage: Bacteria; Pseudomonadati; Campylobacterota; Epsilonproteobacteria; Campylobacterales; Campylobacteraceae
Description: partial 23S ribosomal RNA
Rfam family: Bacterial large subunit ribosomal RNA
Source: RNAcentral